GACGAACGCUGGCGGCGUGCUUAACACAUGCAAGUCGAACGGAAAGGCCCUGCUUUUGUGGGUUUCUCGAUUGGCGCACGGGUGAGUAACACGUGAGUAACCUCCCCUUGACUUUGUGGUAACUUCACGGAACUGCGGCUCAUACCGCAUAUGAUCUCCUGCUCCAUGUUGUGGGUUGGAAAGUUUCGGCGGUUGGGGAUGGACUCGCGGCUUCCGCGCUUGUUGGUGUGGUAGUGGUUUACCAAGGUUUUGACGGCUAGCCGGCCUGGGAGGGUGACCGGGGACAAUGGGACUGAGAGACGGCCCAGACGCGAACGGGAGGCAGUAGGGGGGAAUAUGGCACAACGAGGGGAAGUGUGAGGCAGAAACGCCGCGAGCGGGAUGACGGGUUUCGAGUUGAGAACAGAUGUGGCAGGAGACGAAGAGGGAGUGACGGUAAUGGGUAAAGAAGCACCGGCUAACUACGUG
This 468-nucleotide ribosomal RNA is filed under the name uncultured bacterium. RNAcentral's name for it is "partial 16S ribosomal RNA". It matches the Rfam family "Bacterial small subunit ribosomal RNA", at positions 28 to 507 of the family's 1533-position model. The record is from RNAcentral.